Molecule: non-coding RNA, 46 nt
Organism: Monodelphis domestica (gray short-tailed opossum)
Lineage: Eukaryota; Metazoa; Chordata; Mammalia; Didelphimorphia; Didelphidae
Source: Rfam
UGAUGGGUUUUUUUAAAAACCACUCAUUCUACCUAGAGGGAGAAUU